Molecule: ribosomal RNA, 375 nt
Filed under: Escherichia coli
Lineage: Bacteria; Pseudomonadati; Pseudomonadota; Gammaproteobacteria; Enterobacterales; Enterobacteriaceae
Description: partial 23S ribosomal RNA
Rfam family: Bacterial large subunit ribosomal RNA
Source: RNAcentral
CGAUUUGUUGCAAGGUUAAGCGGAAAAAGCGGAGCCGUAGCGAAAGCGAGUCUGAAUAGGGCGCAUAAGUAACAGGUCGUAGACCCGAAACCAGGUGAUCUACCCAUGUCCAGGAUGAAGGUAAGGUAAUACUUACUGGAGGUCCGAACCCACGCACGUUGAAAAGUGCGGGGAUGAGGUGUGGGUAGCGGAGAAAUUCCAAUCGAACUUGGAGAUAGCUGGUUCUCUCCGAAAUAGCUUUAGGGCUAGCCUCGAGGUAAAGAGUCAUGGAGGUAGAGCACUGUUUGGACUAGGGGCCCUUCUCGGGUUACCGAAUUCAGAUAAACUCCGAAUGCCAUGUACUUAUACUCGGGAGUCAGACUGCGAGUGAUAAGA